This 444-nucleotide ribosomal RNA is filed under the name uncultured bacterium. RNAcentral's name for it is "partial 16S ribosomal RNA". It matches the Rfam family "Bacterial small subunit ribosomal RNA", at positions 354 to 796 of the family's 1533-position model. The record is from RNAcentral.
GUGAGGAAUAUUGGUCAAUGGGCGGGAGCCUGAACCAGCCAAGUCGCGUGAAGGAAGAAGGAUCUAUGGUUCGUAAACUUCUUUUGCAGGGGAAUAAAGUGCAGGACGUGUCCUGUUUUGUAUGUACCCUGAGAAUAAGGAUCGGCUAACUCCGUGCCAGCAGCCGCGGUAAUACGGAGGAUCCGAGCGUUAUCCGGAUUUAUUGGGUUUAAAGGGUGCGUAGGUGGUUUGAUAAGUCAGCGGUGAAGUUUGCAGCUUAACUGUAAAAAUGCCGUUGAAACUGUCGGACUUGAGUGUAAAUGAGGUAGGCGGAAUGCGUGGUGUAGCGGUGAAAUGCAUAGAUAUCACGCAGAACUCCGAUUGCGAAGGCAGCUUACUAAGCUACAACUGACACUGAAGCACGAAAGCGUGGGGAUCAAACAGGAUUAGAAACCCGAGUAGUCC